UCUGGAUAAACUUGCAUCCAUCCAAGGGAAUGGAGCAAGUCACUGUACGGAGCAUUUCCGUAAGGUAUGAGCGUAGCGAUUACUUUACAGAAUUAAUUAAGUAACACAUUUUGGGAUUGCCAAAGGCUUACAUAUAAGUGUAAACGACCCAAGUUUGCACUUGGAGUGAAAUUCUGAAGUGCUAGGAUAACCGUACAUCCUUUAACAUAUUUUAUGUUAUAAAAGUAAUCUUGAAUAGCUUUAACUAGCUUUUCGAGUUACGGAAGG
Molecule: non-coding RNA, 267 nt
Filed under: unclassified sequences
Description: IS605-orfB-I RNA
Rfam family: IS605-orfB-I RNA
Source: Rfam by way of RNAcentral